GCAGAGGCGGUGUCGCCGGCGGCAACCGCCGAGCGUGUCAGACGGCGUCCCGGACAAGGCUGACCAUGGUUGGCGGCGGAGUUAGAGCGGCGGAAGUUGCGGAGGUCUGGUGAUUGACGGCUAGUGCCUCACAGAGUCUCCACUGAUGGGGCGACGAGGCCUGAAAUCCAAUCAUAGGACUAGGUUGAUGCUGAUGAAAGAAUUUGGCUGGAGCUGGAUGGAGGAAUGAUAUCAUCACCUAUUUUUAGAAGGAUCAUAAAAUUUGUGUACUUAGCCAGAAUAUUCUUCUUAUAGAAAUAACGAGGCAUGUGUUUUAGCUCCGGUCUGUCGAGCAUAUAUUUAAUCGUGUGUUCAUGUAGUCUAUGAUGAGAUGUUUAAGCUCCAUGUAAAUUUAUCUCGCCAACUGAAUUUUUUCAUGGCAUUAUAUUGAUGUUUCUUUGUCU
Molecule: long non-coding RNA, 443 nt
Organism: Lolium rigidum
Lineage: Eukaryota; Viridiplantae; Streptophyta; Magnoliopsida; Poales; Poaceae
Exons: 2
Source: RefSeq, a predicted model, not a curated record